UUGUUUGGCUCUCCAUUUAUGGCAACUUGAGAUAUGAUUUCUUGAAUAAGGAAAGAAGGCAACUUGAGAUUUGAAAUUUGAAUUUCAAAUUGCUUUGGCUGAAUGUUCUUUCCUUCUUUGGCACUUUUCUUAUUUAGAACUUUCUAUAUUGAGCUUUUCUUGAUUUCAACUUGGCAGGCUUGCUCUCUUUUGCUCCAAAUAAGGCAGUUUUAGGGGCAUUUUCUCCAAAGUGUCCUUUUACACCAUUUUCUGCAAAAUAAUACCAAGAGCACUAAAUUAAGCAGAAAUCAUGUAAAUAAUCAUCAAUAAUAUCAAGAUAAAAUGGACUAGAAUAUGUUCUAUCAAAUACCCCCACACUUAGCCUUUUUCUUGUCCUCAAGCAAAUAAACAUAGUCAAAUAAGCUUUCUUUGCUCUAAAUCCUUAUUUCCACUUAAGCUCUUACUCAAGACACCUAUUUUGAAUCAUUGCAGUGAAGAAUAUAUGCAUGAAGAUUACUCAACUUCUUUCCUUGUUUCCCUUUACUUACCAUGGCUAGGAUCUAUUUUCCUCAAGAGAGACCAUACAUGCACAUUAUUUGUUCAGAUAAGACUUUUUCUAGCUUUCAGAGUGACUUGUCCUUACCUUGAUGUACUUUAUUUAGGCUUUUGCACUUAGAUUUUGCUUGAAAAAGUCACCAACCUUUUGACGUGAAGGUACAUAUUUGUGAUACCCACCUCCAGUUACUCAGUUGGUCACCUGUCCAAGUGGCUACUAGCUCUGUUCGUAGUCUUUUGACCAUUGGAACAGUUUUUUAAGUUUGUGCUUUUGAGGUCUUUGCCUUUGCUAAAUUUUCUUUUUCUCAAUGAUUUGGGCAAAUCAACACCAAUUGCUAAAUCAAGUUAUGUUAAGUUCAUUUACACAAAUUUCAAUUCAUUCUCUUCAAUUGAGGGUCAUCAAUAUAUUUUUCACCAUAGCAAGCUCAACGAUUCAAUUCAAAAGGCAAUUCUCAAACAUGAAUAUAACUCACUGCAAUUGAUUCAACAUAAGUUUAAAGAGUCAUCACAUCAAUGGAGUCAUGGCAAGAAAACUCAUCCAACAUAGUUCAUCAGUUUGAGUAAAACAAAUCAAAAAGAAGAAGAAGGUUGUGGUUGUGUGUGUGUUAUUGAAAGCAUAAAACAAACAAAAAGAAAACUGAAAGCAUAAAUCGCAUAACUGAAAGGAAAAAUCGGAAAGAAAAUAAAAUUUUUUUCGCAAAUCUGAAAGGGAUCUUGCGCAAAACUGAAAGGAAAGAGGAGAAGAAGAAAGAAGAAGAAGAAGAGAAGUAAGAAGAGAUAUGCACCCCCACACUUAAAUCAUGCAUUGUCCUCAAUGUAAAAGAAAAGAGAAGAACAAAGGAAUCUGAAUACUCCCCUGGGGUGUGGUGUGCAUGGCGUGAUCACUAGGCAGACUGAGAUGGUUUUUGUAGUGGAAUUUCUUCUACUAUUUGUACUGCGAAUCCUUCAUAGAAAGGUUUCAGGCGAUGGCCAUUCACCUUGAAGAUUUUUCCUAUCUCUACACUACGAAUUUCUACAGCUCCAUGUGGAUAAGCAUGUUCCACAAUGAAUAGUCCAAUCUACCUAGACCGUAGCUUACCUGGAAACAAUUUUAAACGAGAGUCAAAGAGUAAGACUUUAUCACCAACCUUAAAUUGUUUUCUUGAAAGCUGACUGUCAUGGGAGGCUUUGGUUUUUGCUUUGUAGUUCCAAGAGUUCUCAUAUGCAUCUCGUCUGAUUUUCUCUAGUUCUUGCAGUUGCAACUUGCGAUGUUGUCCAGCUUCUUUGAGGUCCAUGUUGUAAUUCUUUACAGCCCAAUAUGCCUUGUGUUCAAGUUCAACUGGAAGGUGACAAGCUUUUCCAUAGACCAAUCUAUAAGGAGACAUACCUAUGGGGGUCUUGUAAGCUGUCCUGUAGGCCCAUAAAGCGUCCGCCAAACUUGAGCUCCAAUCCUUGCGGUUGGGAGAAACUGUCUUUUCAAGGAUGGCUUUGAUUUCUCUAUUGGACACUUCAACUUGCCCAUUUGUCUGAGGAUGGUAGGUUGUGGAUGUCCUAUGUAUGACAUUAUGUUUUCUGAGGAGGCUCUCUACUACCUCAUUGCAAAAGUGGGCCCCUCUGUCACUGAUGAUUGCCUUUGGUACUCCAUGUCGAGCAAAGAUGUUGGUCUUCACAAAGUCUAUCACUACUUUGGCAUCAUCAGUCUUUGUUGCUCUAGCUUCCACCCAUUUGGACACAUAAUCCACUGCAAGGAUGAUGUAAGUGUAUCCAAAGGAUGGUGGGAAUGGGCCCAUGAAGUCUAUAUGCCAUACAUCAAACACAUCACAGACCAUGAUGGGGUUCUGUGGCAUUUGAUUUCUUUUGCUCAGAUUUCCAGUCUGUUGACACCUAGCACAAGAUCUGCAAAAGAGAAAGGCAUCUCGAAAAAUAGUGGGCCAAAACAGACCACUUUCAAGUAUCUUAUGAGCAGUCUUUCUUGGACCAAAGUGUCCACCACAACUAUAUGAAUGACAAAAAGUGAGAACUGAAGCUAUUUCUUGGUCUGGAAUACAUCUCCUUAUUAUUUGGUCAGCACAAUGUUUCCACAAAUAUGGCUCAUCCCAAACAUAGUAUUUGGCAUCUUUCUUUAUCUUAUCUUUGGUGUGUUUUGGCAUGUCAGAAGGAAAGUUACUUGUGGCCAGAUAGUUUACCAUGUCUGCAUACCAUGGUUCAUCAGAUUGGGCAAGGAAGAUUUGCUUAAGUAUGUCAUUGUUAUAUUCUUCAGAUUCUGAGAGGUGUUGCAAGGGUGUCUGCACAGAGGUGGUUUCAGAAGUCUCCUUUUGCGCAGGACUUGACUGUAGAGGAGGUGGCGUAGAACUGGAUUCAGAGGUCUCUUCUUGCGCAAGACUGGACUGAGAGGGAAGUGGAAAGGAGCUGAUUUGCGUGGGAGGCUGAAAGGGUGUGCCUGAAAGGCUUUCAGGUGCCUCUUUCUACGCAAUGCCCUUCUGCGCAUUCUUCUGAAGAGGUGCUUUAGAGGUUCCUUCAUUCUGUGCUUUUCUGACUCUCAUUCCUGCAAAGGUCAUCAUUCAGAAUACAAUCUUGAUUCUCAUCAAAUAUUUCCUGGCUUAAGCAGUUAAUAAUAUCAAGACCAUAAACAGGGGACAUAUCAUGUAGAUAUUUCAUAGCAUCAUAGACAUUGAAUUUAAUGACUUCCCCUUCAAACUCCAUACUCAAAGUACCAUUAUGCACAUCAAUCUUAGUCCUAGCAGUACUCAAGAAAGGUCAUCUAAGAAGGAUAUCAGAACUAGUAUUGCAACUAUCUUCCUUAGUAUCAAUCACAUAAAAAUAUACAGGAAAGACAAGUUCAUCUACUUGCACUAACACAUCUUCUAGAACACCUAUGGGAUAUACCACAGAUCUAUUAGCUAAUUGAAUCACAACUCUUGUGUCUUUCAGUGCACAUGCAUUCAGAGAUUUGUAGACGGAAAGAGACAUGACAUUAAUGGAUGCACCAAGAUCACACAUGGCUUUUUUAAUACCAACAUUCCCUAUCUUGCAAGAAAUAAUAAGCAUACCUUUGUCUUUGCAUUUAGUAGGGAGUUCUCUUUUAAUUACAGCAGUAACUACUUCACCUACACUUACUUUCUCUCUCUCAGCAAGCUUUCUUUUAUUGGUGCAAAGUUCUUUCAGAAAUUUUGCGUACCUGGGAAUCUGCUUAACAGCAUCUAGCAGAGGUAUGUUGAUUUUCACCUUUCUGAAGGUGUUAAGGAUCUCCUUUUCUUCCUUUUCUUUUUGUGUUCUUUCAAAUCUUUUUGAAAAAGGAGGUGGAAUCUGAAAUCUUACUUUUUGAUCAGUUUUGUGCUCAGGGAUGGGUUCAGAUUGCGCUGAAGGUGUUGCAGAUGCUUGCCCUUGCGCAAAUGGCUCUUCAGAAUGCGCUGGAGAGGCUUUUGAAUCAAUUGGUUUUUGCGCUUCUUGCUUUUCUUGCUCAUAACUAGCAUUUUGAAGCUCUUUUCCACUUCUCAAAGUGAUGGCACUAACAUUCUGUCUGGGAUUAGUUUCUGUUUGAGAAGAGAGCUUACCUUGGGUUUCAGAUUUGCUCAUUAGCUGUCCCACCUGUUGUUGGAGAGUCUGCACAGAAUUUGUAAGUGUUUCUAUCAUCCUUUCAAGGUGCUGAUUGGAACUUGAAGGUGUUGGUUGGGCCUGAUUCCUGUGGAAGUUCUGAUGGUUCUGAAUAUUGUUGGCCCUUCCAUAGCUGAAAUUGGGAUGGUCUCUCCAUCCUGGAUUGUAUGUGUUGGAAUAUGGAUCAUGUUUAGGCUGGUAGUUAUACCCUCCAAUGGCAUUUGCUUGUUGGUGGUCUUCUUGGAGUGUAGGACAUUGAUCAGUUGGAUGUCCCACAUAUGCACAAAUCCCACAUGGCCUAGGUGGCUGGGAUGCUUGAAUCUGUUGCACCAGUCCUAUGGCAAAAUCUUUCAUAACAGAUGUUAGUUCAGAAAUAGUAGGUGAACUUACCUCAUUGACUCCUCUCUGCAGUUGCUUUUCUUCUCCAUAUUACCUAGAUGAGGCUGCAAGUGUUGAGAUCAACUCUCGCAUCUCCCUAGGUGUCUUGUCUACAAUGGAUCCUCCACAAGCUACAUCAAUGAAUCUCCUUUCUGAAGGGGACAUUCCUCCAUAGAAGAACUGUAUGAGGGACCUGUUUGACAUAUGAUGUUGUGGACAACCUGUACAUAGUCUUUCAAACCUUUCCCAAUAAUCAUAUAAGUCCUCAGUUGAUUUCUGUCUUAUGUUAGUGAUCUCUCUUAUUAUGCCAAUUGAUUUAGAUGUUGGGAAGUAUUUGUUCAAAAAGGUUUGGACCAUAUCAUCCCAAGAAGUGAUAGAUCCAGGUGGCAAAUAAAAUAACCAAUCCUUAGCAUAGUCAUCUAAUGAAAAAGGAAAAGCUCUUAACUUAACAUGAUCUUCAGAGAUACCUUAAGGUCUCAUAGAUGAACAGACAAUAUUGAAUUCUUUCAAGUGCUUUUGUGGAUUUUCAUUUUGCAAACCUCUAAAUUUAGGGAGAAGAUGAAUCAAACCUGUUUUCAGUUCAAAUGGAACUGUCAGAGGUGGAUAGGUGAUGCAAAGUGGUGCAUGAUCACCUACAGGUGUUGCCAAUUCUCUCAUGGUUCUUUCUCUUUGUGCUUGGGGUCUAAUGGCUGGAUUUUCUUGAAUUAUUUGGUCUUGGACAGCAUGUCCAUUAUUGGCAGCAACUUGUGGAAUAUGUUCAGCCAUUUCAGGAGCUUGGUUGUGUGGUUGGAGUGUUUCAGAUGAAGCUUCUGCGCAAGAAGACUGCUCAGGCGCAAGUGCGGCUUCAGUUGUGUGUUUAGGCGCAGUGGCUUGCUUUCCUAGUCUUCUGAGAGUGCGUUCAAUUUUUGGAUCGUAAGGGAGAGUGUCCCUACGUUCAGAUCUGGUCAUGAAAGAAAAUUAAACAAGUAAAAUCAAUUCCCCGGCAACGGCGCCAAUUUUUGACUCGCGGUUGUCGAAGCCGAUCAAAAAUAACCUUUCUAGUUAUCAACAAUUUACAACUACAGAUAGUGGUAAAAGGAUCAAAUCCACAGAGAAUUGAUUACCAAUCUAUUUUUCUCAACAAGACCAAGAGAAUUAACUGAAAGCACAAUUGAAAGCAAGUAACUGAAAGCAUAAUAGAAGUAAAGUGCAGUAAAAGUAAAAAGGGGGGUUUUGAGAUUGAUUUGAUUAACAACUACUGAAAGCAAUUAAAUCACUACUGAAAGCAAUUAAACCAGCAACUAAUUAAAAUAAAAGAGAAUUCAAUAUGAGAAAGGUCUAGUUGAAGAUAUGGAUCCACCUUGGUUGUUUGGAUUGAUCAUUGAAACUUAGUUAUGGAGAUGGAAGACGCUUCUCACCACCAUUAUCUCUCCUUAUGAUUAAAUCAAUUAGGGAACGUCCUCUAAUUAAUUACUAAUUAACAAAUUGCCAAGGAAUGUCCUUGGGCCUUAGGCAUCAAAACAAUUGUCAAUUGCAUUAAGAAAUAGAGAGAUCCAAUCCUAGCUAUCCAAACGUAUGGAGAUAACGCUAGAUCAUACAAUUUUCUUGGGUUUGAUCCCAAGUGUUCUCAUGUAAGAAUAAUCUAAGUAAUUAUGGACUUAAAUUAUUCAAACUAACAAAUAAUUAUUUUGCAAUAAAAAAUCAACGUAGAUCUCAAUAACAAAAUAAUAUGAAAAUUAAAUAUGAAAUUGCAUGAAUAUUGAGUUCCCAAAAGUUAAACAAUAUUAGAUCAAGUCUCACAACCCAUUAAUCAACUAAAGUUUCAACCAAUAUUCAACUAGAUCAAAGAAACCAGCCACUCAUUGGCUGAAUUAAAAACAGAAAAAUAAAAGGGAAAAGAAAAGAAAGGAACCGAAGAGCUGAUUUCUUCCUUUGCGCAGAAGCUUGCGGAAUCGCCGAAUUGGAA
This 6430-nucleotide long non-coding RNA is filed under the name Manihot esculenta (cassava). RNAcentral's name for it is "long non-coding RNA (MESC_LNC004687)". The record is from RNAcentral. Lineage: Eukaryota; Viridiplantae; Streptophyta; Magnoliopsida; Malpighiales; Euphorbiaceae.